Long non-coding RNA from Mauremys mutica (yellowpond turtle), 1161 nucleotides. RefSeq lists it as uncharacterized. NCBI's taxonomy places the organism in Eukaryota, Metazoa, Chordata, Testudines, Geoemydidae. The transcript is spliced from 3 exons. The record is from RefSeq and is a predicted model, not a curated record.
AAGGUGUAUAAUAAAGCACCCCAGGCCCUAUUGGAAGGGAGGCAAAAAAUAGAAGCAAAUGAGAGCAUCAUACACUGUGUAUAUUUUGUUCCCUGAUCCCAUGGGACUAGAGCCCAAAGCAUAAGGAUAACAUUACUGAGGGAGAGUUGUUAUCUAAUUGUGAUACAUAUUUAUAUAUUAUUCUCUUUUGUUUCUCCAAGAGGAAUCUGAUGCCUUUGAAUCUGGGCAAGCAAGUGAGGAGCUUAGCGGAGAAGCAAGUGGUGAACCUAGUGGACAAGUCAGUGGAGAGCUAGGCUGGGAGCCCAGUGGGCAAUCUAUGGGUCAAUCCAGCCUCCCCGAGGAAAGCAGUGGAAGUGGAUUUGACCCCUCAUAUGAAAUACAUUGAGGUGGAUGAAACGUCCCCCCCACUCCCUUCACAUCAUCAGCUGCAUUGAAGGAAAAUUCAAGCCUCAAAAUGAGAAGCACAACAUCACCCUUGAGAAAUGAGUGUGUAGAGCAUUAGCAAGAGUGCUGUUGAGUCUGUUAAAUUUCUAAUAUUUGUGAUUAUUCUCUUAAUAAAGUAUUUAGGGUGCAUUAUAUUCUGAAAAGUGACUGUAAAAAUGGUGACUUUUCAUUCAGUAGCUCUUCUGUGUGCAUGUAUCAAACUCAGAGUGACUGACUUUAGUGACUAAAAUAUGUUUUUUAUGUGUGUUCAUCCUGAAGAGCCAUCACAGUUCAGAAGCUGGAGUCUAAGCCUUCUUCUGCAUCAUCCACAGACUUAUUUACUAAAGUCUGGUUACACCUGUGCAAAGCCAUUGAUGGGAAUGGGACUGCACAAGUGUUACCGAGGGCAGAAUUUGUCCUGGAGUGCUUUUAUUAUUGGUGGAGAUGUAUGGGGAAAAAAGAACCCUGCUUGAUUCUUGGAGCUCAGGCUGAGUUUGCAGAGUCAGCAGCUAGAAAAAAACAACAUUUUUAUUUUUAUUAAUUUGAUCUGGAGUCCCAGAAAGAUUAUAUGCAUGGAGCCCCACAAUGCCAUUUAUACAGUCACUUUUCAAAAUAUGACCAUCCUCCAAGCUGUGAUGAAUUGGAGGGAUCUAUUGAGAGGUGAUGUGCAAUAAUUAAACUGUGACCUCUGAGAAUUCUUCAAGCAGGUAAACAUUCUGCCAUUCUCUCAACUAAGAU